CUACGUAGGUGGCAAGCGUUGUCCGGAAUUAUUGGGCGUAAAGCGCAUGUAGGCGGUAAUUUAAGUCUGUCGUGAAACUGCGGGGCUCAGCCCCGUAUGGCGAUGGAAACUGGGUUACUUGAGUGCAGGAGAGGAAAGGGGAACUCCCAGUGUAGCGGGGAAAUGCGUAGAUAUUGGGAAGAACACCGGUGGCGAAGGCGCCUUUCUGGACUGUGUCUGACGCUGAGAUGCGAAAGCCAGGGUAGCGAACGGGAUUAGAUACCCCGGUAGUCCUGGCCGUAAACGAUGGGUACUAGGUGUGGGAGGUAUCGACCCCUUCCGUGCCGGAGUUAACGCAAUAAGUACCCCGCCUGGGGAGUACGGCCGCAAGGCUUAAACUCAAAGGAAUUGACGGGG
Molecule: ribosomal RNA, 396 nt
Filed under: uncultured bacterium
Lineage: Bacteria
Description: partial 16S ribosomal RNA
Rfam family: Bacterial small subunit ribosomal RNA
Source: RNAcentral